UCAGUAACACGUAGUCAACAUGCCCAGGGGACGUGGAUAACCUCGGGAAACUGAGGAUAAACCGCGAUAGGUCACUACUUCUGGAAUGGGUAAUGACCCAAACCUAUAUGGCCCCUGGAUUGGACUGCGGCCGAUCAGGCUGUUGGUGAGGUAAUGGCCCACCAAACCUGUAACCGGUACGGGCUCUGAGAGGAGGAGCCCGGAGAUGGGCACUGAGACAAGGGCCCAGGCCCUAUGGGGCGCAGCAGGCGCGAAACCUCUGCAAUAGGCGAAAGCUUGACAGGGUUACUCUGAGUGAUUUCCGUUAAGGAGAUCUUUUGGCACCUCUAAAAAUGGUGCAGAAUAAAGGUGUGGCAAGUCUGGUGCCAGC
This 370-nucleotide ribosomal RNA is filed under the name unidentified archaeon. RNAcentral's name for it is "bacterial SSU rRNA". It matches the Rfam family "Archaeal small subunit ribosomal RNA", at positions 90 to 462 of the family's 1478-position model. The record is from RNAcentral.